RNAcentral lists this ribosomal RNA (756 nucleotides) under uncultured bacterium. Its description in RNAcentral is "bacterial SSU rRNA". It matches the Rfam family "Bacterial small subunit ribosomal RNA", at positions 8 to 796 of the family's 1533-position model. The record is from RNAcentral.
AGAGUUUGAUCAUGGCUCAGAAUCAACGCUGGCGGCGCGCUUAACACAUGCAAGUCGCACGAGAAAGGGGAGCAAUCCCUGAGUACAGUGGCGUACGGGUGAGUAACACGUGGAUCAUCUACCUUUUAGUGGGGAAUACCUCUGGGAAACCGGAGACAAUACCGCAUAAGCUCGUGAGAGGAAAGCAGCAAUGCGCUGAAAGAGGAGUCCGCGGCUGAUUAGCUAGUUGGCGGGGUAAUGGCCCACCAAGGCGAAGAUCGGUAGCCGGCCUGAGAGGGCUCACGGCCACACUGGCACUGAAACACGGGCCAGACUCCUACGGGAGGCAGCAGUGGGGAAUCUUGCACAAUGGAGGCAACUCUGAUGCAGCGACGCCGCGUGAGCGAUGAAGCCCUUCGGGGUGUAAAGCUCUUUCGACGGGAACGAUAAUGACGGUACCCGAAGAAGAAGCUGCGGCUAACUACGUGCCAGCAGCCGCGGUAAUACGUAGGCAGCGAGCGUUGUUCGGAAUUACUGGGCGUAAAGAGUGUGUAGGCGGUGUUCCAAGUCUGGUGUGAAAUCUCCCGGCUCAACUGGGAGGGUGCGCCGGAAACUGGGAUGCUAGAGGGUGGGAGAGGUAAGCGGAAUUCCUGGUGUAGCGGUGAAAUGCGUAGAUAUCAGGAGGAACACCUGUGGUGUAGACAGCUUACUGGACCACUUCUGACGCUGAGACACGAAAGCGUGGGUAGCAAACAGGAUUAGAUACCCUAGUAGUCC